CCAAUAGCGUAUAUUAAAGUUGUUGCAGUUAAAAAGCUCGUAGUUGAAUUUCGAGAUCAAUUUGUGGGUCGUGCCUCGGUACGUACUGGCAUUAUUGAUUUCUCCCUUCUGAAGAACCGCGAUGUCAUUCAUUUGGUGUCGUGGGGAAUCAGGACUGUUACUUUGAAAAAAUUAGAGUGUUUAAAGCAAGCUUACGCUUGAAUACAUUAGCAUGGAAUAAUGAAAUAGGACGUUUGAUUCUAUUUUGUUGGUUUCUAGGAUCGACGUAAUGAUUAAUAGGGAUAGUUGGGGGCAUUAGUAUUCAAUUGUCAGAGGUGAAAUUCUUGGAUUUAUUGAAGACUAACUACUGCGAAAGCAUUUGCCAAGGAUGUUUUCAUUAAUCAAGAACGAAAGUUAGGGGAUCGAAGACGAUCAGAUACCGUCGUAGUCUUAACCAUAAACUAUGCCGACUAGGGAUCGGAUGAUGUUAAUUUUUUAAUGACUCAUUCGGCGCCUUACG
RNAcentral lists this ribosomal RNA (499 nucleotides) under uncultured Glomeromycotina. RNAcentral describes it as "partial small subunit ribosomal RNA". It matches the Rfam family "Eukaryotic small subunit ribosomal RNA", at positions 591 to 1092 of the family's 1831-position model. Lineage: Eukaryota; Fungi; Glomeromycota. The record is from RNAcentral.